CCCUUAGAUGUUCUGGGCCGCACGCGCGCUACACUGACGAAUGCAACGAGCUUAUAACCUUGGCCGAAAGGUCUGGGUAAUCUCCAAAUUUCGUCGUGAUGGGGAUAGAUUAUUGCAAUUAUUAAUCUUCAACGAGGAAUGCCUAGUAAGCGCAAGUCAUCAGCUUGCGUUGAUUACGUCCCUGCCCUUUGUACACACCGCCCGUCGCUCCUACCGAUUGAAUGGUCCGGUGAAGCGUUCGGAUACCGGCGUUGCUGGCGGUUCGCCGCCGGCGACGCUGGUAGAAGAUCUUUAAACCUUAUCAUUUAGAGGAAGGAGAAGUCGUAACA
RNAcentral lists this ribosomal RNA (329 nucleotides) under uncultured eukaryote. Its description in RNAcentral is "partial 18S ribosomal RNA". It matches the Rfam family "Eukaryotic small subunit ribosomal RNA", at positions 1470 to 1796 of the family's 1831-position model. The record is from RNAcentral.